GGGAAUUAGUUGGAUUUUGAAUGGGCUUCUAACCUUUUUCAUGAGCAGUUCGAUUCUGUUCGUUCCUU
Molecule: transfer RNA, 68 nt
Filed under: Macoma balthica
Lineage: Eukaryota; Metazoa; Mollusca; Bivalvia; Cardiida; Tellinidae
Description: Limecola balthica tRNA-Ser
Source: RNAcentral